This 253-nucleotide ribosomal RNA is filed under the name uncultured bacterium. RNAcentral's name for it is "partial 16S ribosomal RNA". It matches the Rfam family "Bacterial small subunit ribosomal RNA", at positions 524 to 776 of the family's 1533-position model. The record is from RNAcentral.
UACAGGGGGGGCAAGCGUUGUUCGGAAUUACUGGGCGUAAAGGGCUCGUAGGCGGCCAACUAAGUCACACGUGAAAUCCCCAGGCUUAACCUGGGAACUGCGUGUGAUACUGGAUGGCUUGAAUUCGGGAGAGGGAUGCAGAAUUCCACGUGUAGCAGUGAAAUGCCUAGAGAUGUGGAGGAACACCGAUGGCGAAGGCAGCCUCCUGGGCCAGCACUGACGCUCAUGCACGAAAGCGUGGGGAGCAAACAGG